GGUUCAUCAAGUCUUCAAAAAAGAAUAUAUACGAUUCGAUUCGAUAUACUAACGGAUGCGAUCAUGCCAGCACUAAUGCACCGGAUCCCAUCAGAACUCCGCAGUCAAGCGUGCUUGGGCGAGAGUAGUACUAGGAUGGGUGACCUCCCGGGAAGUCCUCGUGUUGCAUCCCUCUUUUAUGUUUAACCUUUUUUUUUUUGGUU
Molecule: ribosomal RNA, 203 nt
Filed under: Arabidopsis thaliana (thale cress)
Lineage: Eukaryota; Viridiplantae; Streptophyta; Magnoliopsida; Brassicales; Brassicaceae
Source: RNAcentral